RNAcentral lists this ribosomal RNA (620 nucleotides) under uncultured bacterium. RNAcentral describes it as "bacterial SSU rRNA". It matches the Rfam family "Bacterial small subunit ribosomal RNA", at positions 443 to 1066 of the family's 1533-position model. The record is from RNAcentral.
GGAAUAAACCCCCGUAUGUAUACGGGGUUGAAUGUACGGUAAGAAUAAGGAUCGGCUAACUCCGUGCCAUCAGCCGCGGUAAUACGGAGGAUCCAAGCGUUAUCCGGAUUUAUUGGGUUUAAAGGGUGCGUAGGCGGCCUAUUAAGUCAGGGGUGAAAGACGGUGGCUCAACCAUCGCAGUGCCUUUGAUACUGAUGGGCUUGAAUGAACCUGAGGUAAGCGGAAUGUGACAAGUAGCGGUGAAAUGCAUAGAUAUGUCACAUAACACCAAUUGCGAAGGCAGCUUACUAAAGUUUAAUUGACGCUAAGGCACGAAAGCGUGGGGAUCAAACAGGAUUAGAUACCCUGGUAGUCCACGCCCUAAACGAUGAAUACUCUAUGUUAGCGAUAUACGGUUAGCGUCUAAACGAAAGCGUUAAGUAUUCCACCUGGGGAGUACGCCCGCUAGGGUGAAACUCAAAGGAAUUGACGGGGGCCCGCACAACCGGAGGAGCAUGUGGUUUAAUUCGAUGAUACGCGAGGAACCUUACCCGGGCUUGAAAGUUACUGAAUUCCGCAGAGAUGCGGGAGUCCUUCAGGACAGGAAACUAGGUGCUGCAUGGCUGUCGUCAGCUCGUGCC